GAUGAACGCUGGCGGCGUGCCUAAUACAUGCAAGUAGAACGCUGAAGGAGGAGCUUGCUCUUCUGGAUGAGUUGCGAACGGGUGAGUAACGCGUAGGUAACCUGCCUGGUAGCGGGGGAUAACUAUUGGAAACGAUAGCUAAUACCGCAUGACAACAGUUAUUGCAUGAUAACUGUUUAAAAGGGGCAACUGCUCCACUACCAGAUGGACCUGCGUUGUAUUAGCUAGUUGGUGAGGUAACGGCUCACCAAGGCGACGAUACAUAGCCGACCUGAGAGGGUGAUCGGCCAAACUGGGACUGGGACACGGCCCAGACUCCUACGGGGGGCAGCAGUAGGGAAUCUUCGGCAAUGGACGGAAGUCUGACCGAGCAACGCCGCGUGAGUGAAGAAGGUUUUCGGAUCGUAAAGCUCUGUUGUAAGAGAAGAACGAGUGUGAGAGUGGAAAGUUCACACUGUGACGGUAUCUUACCAGAAAGGGACGGCUAACUACGUG
RNAcentral lists this ribosomal RNA (495 nucleotides) under uncultured bacterium. Its description in RNAcentral is "partial 16S ribosomal RNA". It matches the Rfam family "Bacterial small subunit ribosomal RNA", at positions 28 to 507 of the family's 1533-position model. The record is from RNAcentral.